Long non-coding RNA from Callithrix jacchus (white-tufted-ear marmoset), 1691 nucleotides. RefSeq lists it as uncharacterized. NCBI's taxonomy places the organism in Eukaryota, Metazoa, Chordata, Mammalia, Primates, Cebidae. The record is from RefSeq and is a predicted model, not a curated record.
UGCAGCAGUUGUGGCUGCUGUGUUAAUUUAUUCAGCCCUUAAUACCAAGCAGCUUCUCAACCAGCUCAUUCCCAGCUGUCUGGUUCCUGCAGGACAAUGUUCUGAACUCACUAACCUCACACCUCAGGCCUCUGAACCAGAGCCUCAUCACAUCACUGGCAUACAGAUCUCAUCACAAUCUGACAGAAGCUUCAUAGCACUAGACCUGACAGAGCAGUCAUAGCUGGAAGGGCCUUUACCAAGUCCACCAGUGCUAUUCAAUGAGAGCUCUACUGACAUUUUAAGUGGAACGCCAAGAUCCUUGCAUCUAUGUUAAUGAAGAAUAUUUCUUCUCCUGUAAUGUCUCUGUCAUGGUUUAAUAUCAAGGAUCAACUCAUAAAAUGCUGAGAAAUCAAAAUGUGGAGGCAUGAUUUGCCCAAGAUCACACAGCAGUCAUCGAUUAGACGUAAGUCCAGCCCUCAUCUCAUUUAAUUCUCUUGGGACAUGGAAAACAACUGCGUGCUUCAUCACCCCAUUGCACACCCUGACUAUCCAAGCGGAUAGCACAGUCAUGUGCUACAUUAGCCAAUCAACCUGUCAACAAUUAGAGCAUAUAUCCAUGUUUAAGGAGCUCUGGAAAUCUGAAUCGCAGUGCACCAGAACUGAUGUUUUCCAAUCAUCCAUUCAGUGUUGGAAUCUCCUCAAUGUUGCCCAUAACAAGCAGUCACUCAACCCCUGCUUGAAUUCUUCCUGGGACUGGAGGCUGCCUACUACCCAAAUAAAUUAUUUCACAUAGACCUUAGUGCUGAGUAUCAAGUACAGUGGAUUCUCAAUAGAUGUUGAAGAGAUGAAGGCUAUUAAUUGAUGGCUUUAAUUGUUUUUCAAUCAUUCAUCAAUCCAUUUGUUAGCACUCCUUCUCUUCUUCACUUCUGGUCUCAUGUGGCUUGGAGCUGCUCAAAUAUUUGCAAGUGUAACCAAGCUGAAAAUUUUUAAUUCCUCCAAAUAGUCCUCCUAUGGCUUUGUUCCUGGACCCUGUCCUAUCCUGUUUCCCUGUUCUGGAUAAUGUUUCUUGCAGGAUGUGGCACUUAAAAUUUAACAAGUUGAAAACACCGUAUUUCAGCUGUAACUUGACCAACACUCCUGUUAUUCAGGUAUCUAUGCUUUUACCCAUGUAGCACAAAUAGUAUAUAUAAUUACAUAAGUGAAAAUGUGUUCCAAACACAUAUAACAAUUUUGACAGCAGCUAAUGGGGAGGAGGCUCAUGGGAUUCACUCCUUACGGGUUUUGAAGCCCCAAACUAGAGAUAGACCCAGAGGAAGGCACGAAGAAAGGGAAAGUAUAUGUUACCAAACAUGAAACAGCAUGAGAUUAACACCCAAACUGCUUGGUGUAAGACAGUGUUGAGAGUAUAGACAACUCUUGACAAAGUCACAGAGAAAGCUGUUUGACCUGCAGUUACUGGGGCUCCCUUUCUUGAGCACCUUCUUCCUUCCUGAUUCAGCUGGCAAGGUGGACUGACCACGAUUAGAACUGCACUGACCUGGGUUUGAAUCCUUGUUUUAUGCCUUUCUCUCUCUAGGCCUCUUUUUAAAUUAUUUAAAUAAUGGGGACAAUGUGUCCCUCCUCAAGUGGCUAUUAAGGAUGGUAAUGGAUAGAACCUAUCACAGGGCUGGGAAUUCACUUAGUAUCAGUUGUCACUGUUUCCCACAUGA